AGUGAACGCUGGCGGUAGGCCUAACACAUGCAAGUCGAACGGAAGCACAGUAAGAGCUCGCUCUUACGGGUGGCGAGUGGCGGACGGGUGAGGAAUAGAUCGCCAUCUACUUUUUCGUGGGGGACAACGUAGGGAAACUUAUACUAACACAUAAUAUGUCCUACGGGUGAAAGCAGUGGUUAUUCGGAGUUUUGCCGUUUGAUUUAGACGAUGUCGGAUUAGGUUGUUUGGGGGGUAAAGGCCCUACAAGGCGACGGUCCGUAGCUGGUCUGAGGGGAGGAUCAGCCCCACUGGAACUGGAGCACGGUCCAGACUCCUACGGGAGGGAGCAGUUGGGAAUAUUGGAGAAUGGGCGCAAGCCUGAUCCAGGCAUACCGCGUGGGUGAAGAAGGCCUUCGGGUUGUUAAACCCUUUUGUUGAGAAAGAAAAGCAGCAGGUUAAUACCCCGCUGUUCUGACGGGACCCAAAGAAUAAGCACCGGCUAACUUCGUG
Molecule: ribosomal RNA, 492 nt
Filed under: uncultured bacterium
Lineage: Bacteria
Description: partial 16S ribosomal RNA
Rfam family: Bacterial small subunit ribosomal RNA
Source: RNAcentral